AUUGAACGCUGGCGGCAUGCCUUACACAUGCAAGUCGAACGGCAGCACGGGUGCUUGCACCUGGUGGCGAGUGGCGAACGGGUGAGUAAUACAUCGGAACAUGUCCUGUAGUGGGGGAUAGCCCGGCGAAAGCCGGAUUAAUACCGCAUACGAUCUACGGAUGAAAGCGGGGGGCCUUCGGGCCUCGCGCUAUAGGGGUGGCCGAUGGCUGAUUAGCUAGUUGGUGGGGUAAAGGCCUACCAAGGCGACGAUCAGUAGCUGGUCUGAGAGGACGACCAGCCACACUGGGACUGAGACACGGCCCAGACUCCUACGGGAGGCAGCAGUGGGGAAUUUUGGACAAUGGGCGAAAGCCUGAUCCAGCAAUGCCGCGUGUGUGAAGAAGGCCUUCGGGUUGUAAAGCACUUUUGUCCGGAAAGAAAUCCUUGGCCCUAAUACGGUCGGGGGAUGACGGUACCGGAAGAAUAAGCACCGGCUAACUACGUG
RNAcentral lists this ribosomal RNA (486 nucleotides) under uncultured bacterium. Its description in RNAcentral is "partial 16S ribosomal RNA". It matches the Rfam family "Bacterial small subunit ribosomal RNA", at positions 30 to 507 of the family's 1533-position model. The record is from RNAcentral.